Molecule: small nucleolar RNA, 141 nt
Organism: Microcebus murinus (gray mouse lemur)
Lineage: Eukaryota; Metazoa; Chordata; Mammalia; Primates; Cheirogaleidae
Source: Ensembl
AUUAAAACUAUCCACACUUCAAGAGGCCAGCUAGUGCCUUUCUUAGGAAAGCAGCAACUUGGACUAAAAUUGGGCAUGCCUAACGUCUUUGGAGGACAGGGGAUGCUUACUUCCUCUGCCUUCCCUUGGCUGCCUACAUGU